GACGAACGCUGGCGGCGUGCUUAACACAUGCAAGUCGAACGGUAAGGCCCUUCGGGGUACACGAGUGGCGAACGGGUGAGUAACACGUGGGUGAUCUGCCCUGCACUUCGGGAUAAGCCUGGGAAACUGGGUCUAAUACCGGAUAGGACCACUGCCUGCAUGGGUGGUGGUGGAAAGCUUUUGCGGUGUGGGAUGGGCCCGCGGCCUAUCAGCUUGUUGGUGGGGUGAUGGCCUACCAAGGCGACGACGGGUAGCCGGCCUGAGAGGGUGACCGGCCACACUGGGACUGAGAUACGGCCCAGACUCCUACGGGAGGCAGCAGUGGGGAAUAUUGCACAAUGGGCGCAAGCCUGAUGCAGCGACGCCGCGUGAGGGAUGACGGCCUUCGGGUUGUAAACCUCUUUCAGCACUGACGAAGCGCAAGUGACGGUAGGUGCAGAAGAAGGACCGGCCAACUACGUGCCAGCCGCCGCGGUAC
This 478-nucleotide ribosomal RNA is filed under the name uncultured bacterium. RNAcentral describes it as "partial 16S ribosomal RNA". It matches the Rfam family "Bacterial small subunit ribosomal RNA", at positions 28 to 523 of the family's 1533-position model. The record is from RNAcentral.